AGCUUUGCGCAGUGGCAGUAUCGUAGCCAAUGAGGUUUAUCCGAGGCGCGAUUAUUGCUAAUUGAAAAAAUUUUCAUUUACUGUAAGUGUCAAAUUAUACUUAUUUACUUAUUUAUUCAUUGAAGUG
Molecule: small nuclear RNA, 127 nt
Organism: Erinaceus europaeus (western European hedgehog)
Lineage: Eukaryota; Metazoa; Chordata; Mammalia; Eulipotyphla; Erinaceidae
Gene: U4
Rfam family: U4 spliceosomal RNA
About the family: U4 small nuclear RNA (U4 snRNA) is a component of the major U2-dependent spliceosome. The structure of U4 snRNA from yeast and human has been reported.
Source: Ensembl